GAAGUGUUAGUUUUAAUUAAAACAUCUGUCUGUCAAUCAGAAAAUUCGGAUACGCAUCCGAACAGUUCU
This 69-nucleotide transfer RNA is filed under the name Haliotis asinina. RNAcentral describes it as "tRNA-Asp". It matches the Rfam family "tRNA". Rfam says of the family: Transfer RNA (tRNA) molecules are approximately 80 nucleotides in length. The record is from RNAcentral. Lineage: Eukaryota; Metazoa; Mollusca; Gastropoda; Lepetellida; Haliotidae.